AUUGAACGCUGGCGGCAGGCUUAACACAUGCAAGUCGAACGAUGAUUAUCUAGCUUGCUAGAUAUGAUUAGUGGCGGACGGGUGAGUAACAUUUAGGAAUCUGCCUAGUAGUGGGGGAUAGCUCGGGGAAACUCGAAUUAAUACUGCAUACGACCUACGGGUGAAAGGGGGCGCAAGCUCUUGCUAUUAGAUGAGCCUAAAUCAGAUUAGCUAGUUGGUGGGGUAAAGGCCCACCAAGGCGACGAUCUGUAACUGGUCUGAGAGGAUGAUCAGUCACACCGGAACUGAGACACGGUCCGGACUCCUACGGGAGGCAGCAGUGGGGAAUAUUGGACAAUGGGGGCAACCCUGAUCCAGCCAUGCCGCGUGUGUGAAGAAGGCCUUUUGGUUGUAAAGCACUUUAAGCAGGGAGGAGAGGCUAAUGGUUAAUACCCAUUAGAUUAGACGUUACCUGCAGAAUAAGCACCGGCUAACUCUGUGCCAGCAGCCGCGGUAAUACAGAGGGUGCGAGCGUUAAUCGGAAUUACUGGGCGUAAAGCGAGUGUAGGUGGCUCAUUAAGUCACAUGUGAAAUCCCCGGGCUUAACCUGGGAACUGCAUGUGAUACUGGUGGUGCUAGAAUAUGUGAGAGGGAAGUAGAAUUCCAGGUGUAGCGGUGAAAUGCGUAGAGAUCUGGAGGAAUACCGAUGGCGAAGGCAGCUUCCUGGCAUAAUAUUGACACUGAGAUUCGAAAGCGUGGGUAGCAAACAGGAUUAGAUACCCUGGUAGUCCACGCCGUAAACGAUGUCUACUAGCCGUUGGGGUCCUUGAGACUUUAGUGGCGCAGUUAACGCGAUAAGUAGACCGCCUGGGGAGUACGGCCGCAAGGUUAAAACUCAAAUGAAUUGACGGGGGCCCGCACAAGCGGUGGAGCAUGUGGUUUAAUUCGAUGCAACGCGAAGAACCUUACCUGGUCUUGACAUAGUGAGAAUCCUGCAGAGAUGCGGGAGUGCCUUCGGGAAUUCACAUACAGGUGCUGCAUGGCUGUCGUCAGCUCGUGUCGUGAGAUGUUGGGUUAAGUCCCGCAACGAGCGCAACCCUUUUCCUUAUUUGCCAGCGGGUUAAGCCGGGAACUUUAAGGAUACUGCCAGUGACAAACUGGAGGAAGGCGGGGACGACGUCAAGUCAUCAUGGCCCUUACGACCAGGGCUACACACGUGCUACAAUGGUAGGUACAGAGGGUUGCUACACAGCGAUGUGAUGCUAAUCUCAAAAAGCCUAUCGUAGUCCGGAUUGGAGUCUGCAACUCGACUCCAUGAAGUCGGAAUCGCUAGUAAUCGCAGAUCAGAAUGCUGCGGUGAAUACGUUCCCGGGCCU
Molecule: ribosomal RNA, 1355 nt
Filed under: uncultured bacterium
Lineage: Bacteria
Description: bacterial SSU rRNA
Rfam family: Bacterial small subunit ribosomal RNA
Source: RNAcentral